AGUGAACGCUGGCGGUAGGCCUAACACAUGCAAGUCGAACGGCAGCACAGUAAGAGCUUGCUCUUACGGGUGGCGAGUGGCGGACGGGUGUGGAAUACAUCGGAAUCUACUUUUUCGUGGGGGAUAACGUAGGGAAACUUACGCUAAUACCGCAUACGACCUACGGGUGAAAGCAGGGGAUCUUCGGCCCUUGCGCGCUUGUAUGAGCCGAUGUCGGAUUCGCUAGUUGGCGGGGUAAGGGCCCACCAAGGCGACGAUCCGUAGCUGGUCUGAGAGGAUGAUCAGCCACACUGGAACUGAGACACGGUCCAGACUCCUACGGGAGGCAGCAGUGGGGAAUAUUGGACAAUGGGCGCAAGCCUGAUCCAGCCAUGCCGCGUGGGUGAAGAAGGCCUUCGGGUUGUAAAGCCCUUUUGUUGGGAAGGAAAGGCGGCAGGUUAAUACGCCGCUGUUCUGACGGUACCCGAAGAAUAAGCACCGGCUAACUUCGUG
This 492-nucleotide ribosomal RNA is filed under the name uncultured bacterium. RNAcentral describes it as "partial 16S ribosomal RNA". It matches the Rfam family "Bacterial small subunit ribosomal RNA", at positions 29 to 507 of the family's 1533-position model. The record is from RNAcentral.